RNAcentral lists this transfer RNA (539 nucleotides) under uncultured cyanobacterium. RNAcentral describes it as "partial 16S-23S ribosomal RNA intergenic spacer". The stretch from base 214 to 286 matches the Rfam family "tRNA". Lineage: Bacteria; Bacillati; Cyanobacteriota. The record is from RNAcentral.
CAGGGAGACAACAAAAUGUUAAAUAUUAAUUUUGUCACCUUAGGUCGAUCGGUAUCUCACAUUCUUAAUUAAUUAAGGAUUUCAUUUUCUAAGUUUUUUUUCUAGGUCACACCCCAUUACUUUUCCUGGGCCAUUAGCUCAGGUGGUUAGAGCGCACCCCUGAUAAGGGUGAGGUCCCUGGUUCAAGUCCAGGAUGGCCCAUAUCUCUAUGUUGGGGGUAUAGCUCAGUUGGUAGAGCGCCUGCUUUGCAAGCAGGAUGUCAGCGGUUCGAGUCCGCUUACCUCCACUGUUCACCACCUCUUCCAUAAAUUAGAAGGAAAUGUUUUGAGUUGUGAUCAAAUUCUGAACGAAUCUAGCUUCCUAAUAAAACUAUUAAGAUGCUGGACUCAUUGAAUUAAUUUCAUUGUUUUCAGAGAACCUUGACAACUGCAUAGAUUAUUUUUAAAAACAAUGAGCAUCUUUAAUGAUGCAGUUUUUUAUUUUUGCUAAUGCAUUAAUAACAAUUCUAUUAAGCUGAUGCUUCAAUUUUUGAAGUUAUU